This 851-nucleotide ribosomal RNA is filed under the name uncultured bacterium. Its description in RNAcentral is "bacterial SSU rRNA". It matches the Rfam family "Bacterial small subunit ribosomal RNA", at positions 26 to 896 of the family's 1533-position model. The record is from RNAcentral.
AGAACGAACGUUGGCGGCGUGGAUUAGGCAUGCAAGUCGGGGGAAUCCCAGCAAUGGGGGAACCGGCGUAAGGGGCAGUAAUGUGUGGGUACCUACCCUAGGGUUCGGGAUAGCCAUCAGAGAUGGUGGGUAAUACCGGAUGAUGUCGUGAGACCAAAGAUUUAUCGCCCCGGGAGGGGCCCACAUGAUAUUAGCUAGUUGGUGAGGUAAUGGCUCACCAAGGCUAAGAUGUCUAGCGGGUGUGAGAGCACGACCCGCGCCACUCGCACUGAGACACUGGCGAGACACCUACGGGUGGCUGCAGUCGAGGAUCUUCGGCAAUGAGCGCAAGCUUGACCGAGCGACGCCGCGUGAGCGAUGAAGGCCUUCGGGUUGUAAAGCGCUGUCGAAGGGGAGGAAAUUGUAGUGGGUUCACCCAUUAUAUUGACCGAUCCUUGGAGGAAGGGCCGGCUAAUCUCGUGCCAGCAGCCGCGGUAAUACGAGAGGCCCAAACGUUAUUCGGAUUUACUGGGCUUAAAGAGUUCGUAGGCGGUUCGGUAAGUGAGGUGUGAAAGCCCUCGGCUCAACCGAGGAAUUGCGCUUCAAACUGCCGGGCUCGAGGGAGAUAGAGGUGAGCGGAACUGAUGGUGGAGCGGUGAAAUGCGUUGAUAUCAUCAGGAACACCAGAGGCGAAGGCGGCUCACUGGGUCUCUUCUGACGCUGAGGAACGAAAGCUAGGGGAGCAAACGGGAUUAGAUACCCCGGUAGUCCUAGCCGUAAACUAUGAGUACUGAAUUGGAGGGCCCUCCAUGGCCCUCCAGUUGAAGCGAAAGUGUUAAGUACUCCGCCUGGGGAGUAUGGCCGCAAGGCUA